Molecule: ribosomal RNA, 666 nt
Filed under: Acidobacteria bacterium IPR-55A
Lineage: Bacteria; Pseudomonadati; Acidobacteriota
Description: bacterial SSU rRNA
Rfam family: Bacterial small subunit ribosomal RNA
Source: RNAcentral
UAAGUUCGAGAGAAGAAAGCCGAAAGGCGCCGAUAGAGGAGUCCGCGGUCGAUUAGCUAGUUGGCGGGGUAAAGGCCCACCAAGGCUACGAUCGAUAGCCGGCCUGAGAGGGCACACGGCCACACUGGCACUGAAACACGGGCCAGACUCCUACGGGAGGCAGCAGUGGGGAAUCUUGCACAAUGGGGGAAACCCUGAUGCAGCGACGCCGCGUGAACGAUGAAGCCCUUCGGGGUGUAAAGUUCUUUCGGCAGGGACGAUAAUGACGGUACCUGAAGAAGAAGCUGCGGCUAACUACGUGCCAGCAGCCGCGGUAAUACGUAGGCAGCAAGCGUUGUUCGGAAUUACUGGGCGUAAAGAGUGCGUAGGCGGUUUGGCAAGUUUGGUGUGAAAUCUCCCGGCUUAACUGGGAGGGUGCGCCGAAAACUGCCAGGCUAGAGUAUGGGAGAGGAAAGUGGAAUUCCUGGUGUAGCGGUGAAAUGCGUAGAUAUCAGGAGGAACACCUGCGGUGUAGACGGCUUUCUGGACCAUUACUGACGCUGAGGCACGAAAGCGUGGGGAGCAAACAGGAUUAGAUACCCUGGUAGUCCACGCCCUAAACGAUGCAGACUUGGUGUUGGCCUUUCAUUGGGUCAGUGCCGAAGCUAACGCGGUAAGUCUGCCGCC